Long non-coding RNA from Bubalus bubalis (water buffalo), 2538 nucleotides. RefSeq lists it as uncharacterized. NCBI's taxonomy places the organism in Eukaryota, Metazoa, Chordata, Mammalia, Artiodactyla, Bovidae. The transcript is spliced from 3 exons. The record is from RefSeq and is a predicted model, not a curated record.
CACGUGAAAGAGGUUUGCGUUACUUUUCCAAUGCAGUAACCCUGCCCCCACUGCCCUACGUCUCACCCUCCAGACCAUGUGACCCAGUGGCUAUCAGAUUAAAUCAAUUUUGCUCAUCAGGAAGGUUACUUUUCCUCCUAGCUGGGGAGUAAGUAAAAAGGAUGGAACAAGAAGCCAAAAUUAUGUUCUGAAAUUUUGCUCCUUCCUAAAGGAUUGUUGCCAUUUCAAGGAGGAGAGAGAGGUCAACUAAAGCUUUCUCAUUAACAGUUAAGAGCAGUGAUUAAAAUUUGCUUCUUGAAGAAUUAGUUGUGGUAGAAUAACAGAGAACAUACAUUCCAGAGAAGCCUAUGAGACAUUUUGAGGGGACACUGGACUCCUCCUUCUUUGUGUGACAUGCAGGAGAAUGGGUGAUUCCAGAUUAGAGAAUUUGGAGACCACAGGAUCACACAAAGGGAAAUAAAGAAUUAUAUUCCACUUAUCAGAGAAGAAAAAGAAGGAUAUGCUUGUGAUCCAUACUGGAAGAGUAAUUACAACAGGAUCUCUGAGAAUGGAAACAUUUUUCAAAGAACCUCAGAUGACUCUAACAAGAAGCCAGGAUGGAGAACUGCUGGGCAAGGAGCAACAGUUCAUUAAGACCAUUGCUUGCAACUAGAAGAAUUCUAAUUAUGGGCCUGUCUUUGUUUCAUUCAGCAGGGAUUCUGAUGAUGGAUUUAUGCCGAGCAUUUACUUGGUGAAUGGAUGCAAAUGCUAUGUUCUUUUAGAGUUGCUUGUAGAGAGCUAUACUAUAGCUGUUCUCGGUUUACAGAACAUUGCAGUACCCACUUGUGAUGUUCCAAGUGGGUAUAUUUAUUUUUUUAAUGGAAAAUGGAAUAGAAACAUACCUUACUUUGAGAUUCAGUAAUCCUCCGUGAUGUAGUUAGAGACACUUGGUUUUCUAGAACAAAAGUUGUCAUUAGUUUGGGUUGAUGCUUAAUGUUUUAUAUUUAAAUCGUACAUUUCUUUAAAUGUUUUUGAGCAUUACAUUAGACAGUAAUUCAUCUGGUAUUCAAUUGUAUCAGUGCAUCAGAUAACACAUUAAGAUCCAUUCCUUUCUUUGCAUUUGCAAUAUCACGAAGUAGAGAAGAGAGUCUGCUGGUUUUCCAUGCAUCUCCCUCUCGUCUUUAUCUAGGCUUAUAUAUGUAUAGAUCGUCUUGUUGUGUUUGGCUGUGGUGAGGGAUGUCACGGGUGUUUGGAUUCUGCAGAUAGUCCAAGACGUAAGAUCUUCAGAUGUGGAUAUAUUUAGAGUGAGCCAGAGAUAAAAAGUGGAGAAAAUUUUAAAGGUGUUGUCAAAGCUUGCCUCAAGCAAAAUUGUGAAAUAUGCCAAGAUUCUCACUGGAGCCUACCAGGCUCUGCAGUCCCCUAAUCUAUCUUUGCUUCCCAGAUGGUGGAGUGGUAAAGAAUCUGCCUGCCAAUGCAGGAGAGGCAACAGAUAUGGGUUCAAUCCCUGAGUUGGGAAUAUCCCCUGGAGUAGGAAAUGACAACCCACUCGAGUGUUCCUGCCUGAGAAAUCCCAUGCAGAGGGGAGCCUGAUGGAUUACAGUCCAUAGGGUUGCAAAGAAGCAGACACAAGUGAGCACGCAUGCAUGCAUCUAUCUUCUCUGUAGCUGUUUGCUAGGUAUCUUUCAGAUGCACAGUUUACACAGUCUCAGCUUUCACACCAUCUGCUGAAUUGUUGCUAAAUAAAGUCUUAUAUGGGAAGGGCUUUAAUAUUGACCCCUCCCAAGGAUGUUUAUUUUUUUAAUUUGGUAUUUAUCAAAAUUGACUUAUUAUAGAUGGAGAGAAAAAAUAUUUUUUAAAAAGUAACCAUUAUUUAUGAACUCAUUUAUCUGUAAAAGCAUUUUGCUAUAUACUGUAUUCAUUAUCACAUUUAAUCCUAAGUGUUCUAUGAGGUAGAGUAUAACUUAUAUCCAUUUUACAGAUGAGAACUUGAAGCUUAGAGCACUGAAACAAUUUGCCCCAAAUCAGAAAACUGGUGAGUUACAGACUUCAGAUUUGAACCCAGAUCUGUCUGAUUUCUAAAUCCACGUGCUUACCCAUUAGGCUCUAUUGGCUCUCAUGUUUUGGACUGGGGAUCACCUAUACAGCCUAUUCCUAACUUUAGAGAAAUUCAUGUGGUAUGAGUCUUAAGAAAACUACCUCAUGAUCCUAGCAGACUGGUCUACACUAUAUUGUAGAGCAUAUGAUUCAGAAGAGUAUGCUGCUGCUAAGUCGCUUCAGUUGUGUCCAACUCUCAGCAACCCCAUGGACUGCAGCCCACCAGGCUCCUCCGUCCAUGGGAUUUUCCAGGCAAGAGUACUGGAUCAGAAGAGUAUACUCUAGUGAUAAUACUAAGGUAUUAUUCCUCUAUUCAUAUUCUUGCUCAGACAGCAGCUUUAUGCUGAAACAGUUUUGCAGUUUGUAUAGUGGGUGUUUAAAUACACAGAGCUAUAUUGGGUAUUUCUCUGAAAGCUUUUAAAAUCCUCUCUUAGGUUCAUUUGGUAAUUCAGAGAUAAUUCGGUA